UACGUAGGGGGCUAGCGUUAUCCGGAAUUACUGGGCGUAAAGGGUGCGUAGGCGGCCCUUCAAGUCAGAGGUGAAAGGCUACGGCUCAACCGUAGUAAGCCUUUGAAACUGUAGGGCUUGAGUGCAGGAGAGGAGAGUGGAAUUCCCAGUGUAGCGGUGAAAUGCGUAGAUAUUGGGAGGAACACCAGUUGCGAAGGCGGCUCUCUGGACUGUAACUGACGCUGAGGCACGAAAGCGUGGGGAGCGAACAGGAUUAGAUACCCUGGUAGUCCACGCCGUAAACGAUGAGUACUAGGUGUCGGGGGUUACCCCCCUCGGUGCCGCAGCUAACGCAUUAAGUACUCCGCCUGGGAAGUACGCUCGCAAGAGUGAA
This 373-nucleotide ribosomal RNA is filed under the name uncultured bacterium. RNAcentral's name for it is "bacterial SSU rRNA". It matches the Rfam family "Bacterial small subunit ribosomal RNA", at positions 524 to 898 of the family's 1533-position model. The record is from RNAcentral.